UACAGAGGUGGCAAGCGUUGUUCGGAAUUACUGGGCGUAAAGCGCGUGUAGGCGGCUCUUCAAGUCAGGCGUGAAAGCCCCGGGCUCAACUCGGGAACUGCGCUUGAUACUGUCGAGCUAGAGUGUGGAAGGGGCGAUUGGAAUUCCCGGUGUAGCGGUGGAAUGCGUAGAGAUCGGGAAGAACAUCAGUGGCGAAGGCGGCCUGCUGGGCUGUUGCUGACGCUGAGGCGCGAAAGCGUGGGGAGCAAACAGG
RNAcentral lists this ribosomal RNA (253 nucleotides) under uncultured bacterium. RNAcentral's name for it is "partial 16S ribosomal RNA". It matches the Rfam family "Bacterial small subunit ribosomal RNA", at positions 524 to 776 of the family's 1533-position model. The record is from RNAcentral.